UACAGAGGUCCCAAGCGUUGUUCGGAUUUACUGGGCGUAAAGGGAGCGUAGGUGGCAUUCCAAGUCUGAUGUGAAAGCUCUGAGCUUAACUCAGAAAUGGCAUUAGAUACUGGUUUGCUUGAGGAUUGGAGGGGAGAUUGGAAUUCUUGGUGUAGCAGUGAAAUGCGUAGAUAUCAAGAGGAACACCAGUGGCGAAGGCGAAUCUCUGGACAAUUCCUGACACUGAUGCUCGAAAGCUAGGGGAGCAAAC
This 250-nucleotide ribosomal RNA is filed under the name uncultured bacterium. RNAcentral describes it as "partial 16S ribosomal RNA". It matches the Rfam family "Bacterial small subunit ribosomal RNA", at positions 524 to 773 of the family's 1533-position model. The record is from RNAcentral.